RNAcentral lists this unclassified non-coding RNA (193 nucleotides) under soil metagenome. RNAcentral's name for it is "partial contains 5.8S ribosomal RNA, internal transcribed spacer 2, and large subunit ribosomal RNA". The record is from RNAcentral.
AACGCACGAGACCUGCGGACCUGCGGAGGGAUCAUUACCGAGUUAUCCAACUCCCAACCCCUGUGAAUUAUACCUUUAAUUGUUGCUUCGGCGGGACUUCGCGCCCGCCGGGGACCCAAACCUUCUGAAUUUUUUAAUAAGUAUCUUCUGAGUGGUUAAAAAAACGAAUCAAAACUUUCAACAAUGGAUCUCU